RNAcentral lists this ribosomal RNA (443 nucleotides) under uncultured bacterium. Its description in RNAcentral is "partial 16S ribosomal RNA". It matches the Rfam family "Bacterial small subunit ribosomal RNA", at positions 338 to 795 of the family's 1533-position model. The record is from RNAcentral.
CCUACGGGAGGCAGCAGUGGGGGAUAUUGGACAAUGGGGGAAACCCUGAUCCAGCGACGCCGCGUGAGUGAAGACGUACUUCGGUAUGUAAAGCUCUUUCAGCAGGGAAGAAAGAAAUGACGGUACUUGACCAAGAAGCCCCGCCUAAUAACGUGCCAGCACCCGCGGUAAUACGUAGGGGGCAAGCGUUAUCCGGAAUUACUGGGUGUAAAGGGGGCGUAGGCGGGGAUGCAAGUCUGGAGUGAAAGGCGGGGGCCCAACCCCCGGACUGCUCUUGAAACUGCAUAACUUGAGUGCGGGAGAGGUAAGCGGAAUUCCUGGUGUAGCGGUGAAAUGCGUAGAUAUCAGGAGGAACACCAGUGGCGAAGGCGGCUUACUGGACUGCAACUGACGUUGAGGCACGAAAGCGUGGGGAGCAAACAGGAUUAGAUACCCCGGUAGUC